GACGAACGCUGGCGGCGUGCUUAACACAUGCAAGUCGAACGGAAAGGCCCUGCUUUUGUGGGGUGCUCGAGUGGCGAACGGGUGAGUAACACGUGAGUAACCUGCCCUUGACUUUGGGAUAACUUCAGGAAACUGGGGCUAAUACCGGAUAGGAGCUCCUGCUGCAUGGUGGGGGGUGGAAAGUUUCGGCGGUUGGGUAUCGACUCGCGGCUUAUCAGCUUGUUGGUGGGGUAGUGGCUUACCAAGGCUUUGACGGGUAGCCGGCCUGAGAGGGUGACCGGCCACAUUGGGACUGAGAUACGGCCCAGACUCCUACGGGAGGCAGCAGUGGGGAAUAUUGCACAAUGGGCGGAAGCCUGAUGCAGCAACGCCGCGUGCGGGAUGACGGCCUUCGGGUUGUAAACCGCUUUCGCCUGUGACGAAGCGUGAGUGACGGUAAUGGGUAAAGAAGCACCGGCUAACUACGUG
This 468-nucleotide ribosomal RNA is filed under the name uncultured bacterium. Its description in RNAcentral is "partial 16S ribosomal RNA". It matches the Rfam family "Bacterial small subunit ribosomal RNA", at positions 28 to 507 of the family's 1533-position model. The record is from RNAcentral.